Molecule: ribosomal RNA, 449 nt
Filed under: uncultured bacterium
Lineage: Bacteria
Description: bacterial SSU rRNA
Rfam family: Bacterial small subunit ribosomal RNA
Source: RNAcentral
AACGAACGCUGGCGGCAGGCUUAACACAUGCAAGUCGAGCGCCCCGCAAGGGGAGCGGCAGACGGGUGAGUAACGCGUGGGAAUCUACCUAGUUCUACGGAACAACUCAGGGAAACUUGAGCUAAUACCGUAUACGCCCUUCGGGGGAAAGAUUUAUCGGAAUUAGAUGAGCCCGCGUUGGAUUAGCUAGUUGGUGAGGUAAUGGCUCACCAAGGCGACGAUCCAUAGCUGGUCUGAGAGGAUGAUCAGCCACACUGGGACUGAGACACGGCCCAGACUCCUACGGGAGGCAGCAGUGGGGAAUAUUGGACAAUGGGCGCAAGCCUGAUCCAGCCAUGCCGCGUGAGUGAUGACGGCCUUAGGGUUGUAAAGCUCUUUCAACGGUGAAGAUAAUGACGGUAACCGUAGAAGAAGCCCCGGCUAACUUCGUGCCAGCAGCCGCGGUAAAG